AUGUCACUGUUGGAGCCCUCAGA
This 23-nucleotide non-coding RNA is filed under the name Cricetulus griseus (Chinese hamster). The record is from RNAcentral. Lineage: Eukaryota; Metazoa; Chordata; Mammalia; Rodentia; Cricetidae.